RNAcentral lists this long non-coding RNA (581 nucleotides) under Serinus canaria (Common canary). RNAcentral describes it as "lncRNA (ENSSCAG00000004924.1)". The record is from RNAcentral. Lineage: Eukaryota; Metazoa; Chordata; Aves; Passeriformes; Fringillidae.
GGCCAUUCAUGCAGUAAAACUGAGAUGUUUUCCAGUUAUUUCAAAUUAUUCCUCCUCUUUCUAAAACAGACCAAAAAGAACUACAAGAGAAACCAUGGAAAUUGCUUACAGUAUCUUGGGCACAGCUUUAUCAUUUAGGGCCAGUACUCCUGGAGGGAAGUAUAGCACAGGGACUGCUGGACAAGCAUCAUACCCUCAGAAACAUGACCCUCUGCAGCCUUGGAUAUUGGCACGUUUUUACCAGAGAGACCCAAUGUUUGCCUGGAGAAUGACGUCAUUUUUCCAUUUGUUUGGCAGCUGCAGUGACACUUUGGCCUUUACAAGGACAGGUGAGACUCUGAUUUCUCUCUCCACAAUGCUGUCCUCCUCCUUGAGCCUCUCUUGUGCAGCUGCAUGCCAAGGUCAGUGUUUGUAGGAAAACUUAGGAGUCUGCCAGGCUGCCGGUCAGCAGAGAAACCUCUGAAGGAGCUGACAGUGCAAUCCAGUCAAAGGCCUUGUACUUCUGUUCCUCUCUUUUCCUUCAUGCUGCCCUUCCUGAUCUGUGGGUUUUUUUCUGAAGGAAGCUGUGGCACAUGACCUGG